UGGGGAGUCUUGCGCAAUGGACGAAAGUCUGACGCAGCCACGCCGCGUGAGUGAAGAAGGCCUUCGGGUUGUAAAGCUCUGUCGGACGGGACGAAAGGUUACGUGCUCAUACCACGUGAUUUUGACGGUACCGUUAAAGGAAGCACCGGCUAACUUCGUGCCAGCAGCCGCGGUAAUACGAAGGGUGCAAGCGUUGCUCGGAAUUAUUGGGCGUAAAGGGUAGGUAGGUGGUCUGAUUUGUCUGAGGUGAAAGCCCGGGGCUUAACCCCGGAAGUGCCUUAGAAACGGUUAGACUAGAGUACUGGAGAGGGUCGCGGAAUUCCUGGUGUAGCGGUGAAAUGCGUAGAGAUCAGGAGGAACAUCAGAGGCGAAGGCGGCGGCCUGGACAGGUACUGACACUCAACUACGAAAGCGUGGGUAGCAAACAGG
This 429-nucleotide ribosomal RNA is filed under the name uncultured bacterium. RNAcentral's name for it is "bacterial SSU rRNA". It matches the Rfam family "Bacterial small subunit ribosomal RNA", at positions 355 to 776 of the family's 1533-position model. The record is from RNAcentral.